UACGUAGGGGGCGAGCGUUGUCCGGAUUUAUUGGGCGUAAAGAGCUCGUAGGCGGUUUGUCGCGUCUGCUGUGAAAACCCGAGGCUCAACCUCGGGCCUGCAGUGGGUACGGGCAAACUAGAGUGCGGUAGGGGAGAAUGGAAUUCCUGGUGUAGCGGUGGAAUGCGCAGAUAUCAGGAGGAACACCGAUGGCGAAGGCAGUUCUCUGGGCCGUAACUGACGCUGAGGAGCGAAAGCGUGGGGAGCGAACAGG
RNAcentral lists this ribosomal RNA (253 nucleotides) under uncultured bacterium. Its description in RNAcentral is "partial 16S ribosomal RNA". It matches the Rfam family "Bacterial small subunit ribosomal RNA", at positions 524 to 776 of the family's 1533-position model. The record is from RNAcentral.